RNAcentral lists this unclassified non-coding RNA (345 nucleotides) under Hevea brasiliensis (rubber tree). The record is from RNAcentral. Lineage: Eukaryota; Viridiplantae; Streptophyta; Magnoliopsida; Malpighiales; Euphorbiaceae.
AAAUAAGAAGAGCGUGUUAAUAUUUUAUAUUAAUUUUAAAUAAAAAUAAUAUAUGCCUAAUAUAGCUUAGAUAUUCUCCAUUUUGAUAUAACUUUUGAAGUAAACUAGACACAAAUCAUUUUCUUACCAACAUGCUUCAUAACUUCAAUGCUAGUAUUCUCACAAGUUUAAUUCAAUAAAAUUUACUGAAUGGAACCGUCCAUUAAUUUUACGUUUCUUUCCUCACAAAUAUAUCAUUGUUUUCCCUUGAAUUAUCUUCUUAUUCACUUACUUCUUUUAACUUCUAUUUUUCACUUUUUUAUUAAAGUAAAGUUGAUAAAAUCUAGCAAAUAUUUAUAUUUUUAA